This 26-nucleotide non-coding RNA is filed under the name Rattus norvegicus (Norway rat). The record is from RNAcentral. Lineage: Eukaryota; Metazoa; Chordata; Mammalia; Rodentia; Muridae.
UAGCUGUUUGUUGUUUCAUGCUUGGC